UGGGGAAUAUUGGACAAUGGGGGCAACCCUGAUCCAGCAAUGCCGCGUGUGUGAAGAAGGCCCUAGGGGUUGUAAAAGCACUUUCAAUUGGGGAAGAAAAGUUCCGGGUUAAUACCCCGUGGACCAUGACGGUACCUUUAGAAGAAGCACCGGCUAACUCCGUGCCAGCAGCCGCGGUAAUACGUAGGGUGCAAGCGUUGUCCGGAAUUAUUGGGCGUAAAGAGCUCGUAGGCGGUCCGUUGCGUCUGCCGUGAAAACCCGGAGCUCAACUCCGGGCCUGCGGUGGAUACGGGCGGACUAGAGUCCGGUAGGGGGAGACUGGAAUUCCUGGUGUAGCGGUGGAAUGCGCAGAUAUCAGGAGGAACACCGGUGGCGAAGGCGGGUCUCUGGGCCGGAACUGACGCUGAGGAGCGAAAGCGUGGGGAGCGAACAGGAUUAGAUACCCUGGUAGUCCACGCCGUAAACGAUGUCAACUAGCCGUUGGGGAACUUGAUUCUUUAGUGGCGCAGCUAACGCGAUAAGUUGACCGCCUGGGGGAGUACGGCCGCAAGGUUAAAACUCAAAUGAAUUGACGG
RNAcentral lists this ribosomal RNA (575 nucleotides) under uncultured bacterium. RNAcentral's name for it is "bacterial SSU rRNA". It matches the Rfam family "Bacterial small subunit ribosomal RNA", at positions 355 to 916 of the family's 1533-position model. The record is from RNAcentral.